This 733-nucleotide ribosomal RNA is filed under the name uncultured bacterium. Its description in RNAcentral is "bacterial SSU rRNA". It matches the Rfam family "Bacterial small subunit ribosomal RNA", at positions 28 to 776 of the family's 1533-position model. The record is from RNAcentral.
GACGAACGCUGGCGGCGUGCCUAACACAUGCAAGUCGAGCGAUGAAAUUUCCUUCGGGAAAUGGAUUAGCGGCGGACGGGUGAGUAACACGUGGGUAACCUGCCUCAUAGAGGGGAAUAGCCUUUCGAAAGGAAGAUUAAUACCGCAUAGGAUUGUAGUACCGCAUGGUACAGCAAUUAAAGGAGUAAUCCGCUAUGAGAUGGACCCGCGGCGCAUUAGCUAGUUGGUGAGGUAACGGCUCACCAAGGCGACGAUGCGUAGCCGACCUGAGAGGGUGAUCGGCCACAUUGGGACUGAGACACGGCCCAGACUCCUACGGGAGGCAGCAGUGGGGAAUAUUGCACAAUGGGGGAAACCCUGAUGCAGCAACGCCGCGUGAGUGAUGACGGCCUUCGGGUUGUAAAGCUCUGUCUUCAGGGACGAUAAUGACGGUACCUGAGGAGGAAGCCACGGCUAACUACGUGCCAGCAGCCGCGGUAAUACGUAGGUGGCAAGCGUUGUCCGGAUUUACUGGGCGUAAAGGGAGCGUAGGCGGAUCUUUAAGUGGGAUGUGAAAUACUCGGGCUCAACCUGAGUGCUGCAUUCCAAACUGGAGAUCUAGAGUGCAGGAGGGGAGAGUGGAAUUCCUAGUGUAGCGGUGAAAUGCGUAGAGAUUAGGAAGAACACCAGUGGCGAAGGCGACUCUCUGGACUGUAACUGACGCUGAGGCUCGAAAGCGUGGGGAGCGAACAGG